This 249-nucleotide ribosomal RNA is filed under the name Triticum aestivum (bread wheat). Its description in RNAcentral is "partial small subunit ribosomal RNA". Lineage: Eukaryota; Viridiplantae; Streptophyta; Magnoliopsida; Poales; Poaceae. The record is from RNAcentral.
AUGUCCUGCCGCCGGCGACGGGCCGCCUUUUUUCCGACAUCCUCUCUUCGGGCACAGUUGGGCGGAUGUGGUGCACCACUGCAACGGGUUGAUCAUCCUCACGGAAUAUCACAAUCGCGCUGUUUACUGCGUGUGCAACCCGGCAACGGCUCGGUGGGAGCGGUUGCCACGCCCGUCCAAGGCGCCAUGGCCGUGCUGCAUGAAGGGCAUGUUCCUCGCCUUCGACCCCGUUGUGUCGCGGCACUAUGA